RNAcentral lists this ribosomal RNA (304 nucleotides) under uncultured bacterium. RNAcentral's name for it is "partial 16S ribosomal RNA". It matches the Rfam family "Bacterial small subunit ribosomal RNA", at positions 506 to 809 of the family's 1533-position model. The record is from RNAcentral.
CAGCAGCAGCCGCGGUAAUACGAAGGGUGCAAGCGUUACUCGGAAUUACUGGGCGUAGAGCGUGCGUAGGUGGUGGUUUAAGUCCGUUGUGAAAGCCCUGGGCUCAACCUGGGAAUUGCAGUGGAUACUGGGUCACUAGAGUGUGGUAGAGGAUAGUGGAAUUUCCGGUGUAGCAGUGAAAUGCGUAGAGAUCUGGAGGAAUACCGGUGGCGAAGGCGGCCCCCUGGACAAAGACUGACGCUCAGGUGCGAAAGCGUGGGGAGCAAACAGGAUUAGAUACCCCUGUAGUCCCUGUCUCUUAUAA